This 436-nucleotide ribosomal RNA is filed under the name uncultured bacterium. Its description in RNAcentral is "bacterial SSU rRNA". It matches the Rfam family "Bacterial small subunit ribosomal RNA", at positions 29 to 507 of the family's 1533-position model. The record is from RNAcentral.
AACGAACGCUGGCGGCAUGCCUAACACAUGCAAGUCGAACGAACCCUUCGGGGUUAGUGGCGCACGGGUGCGUAACACGUGGGAAUCUGCCCUUUGCUUCGGAAUAACAGUUAGAAAUGACUGCUAAUACCGGAUGAUGUCGUAAGACCAAAGAUUUAUCGGCAAAGGAUGAGCCCGCGUAGGAUUAGGUAGUUGGUGGGGUAAAGGCCUACCAAGCCGACGAUCCUUAGCUGGUCUGAGAGGAUGAUCAGCCACACUGGGACUGAGACACGGCCCAGACUCCUACGGGAGGCAGCAGUGGGGAAUAUUGGACAAUGGGCGAAAGCCUGAUCCAGCAAUGCCGCGUGAGUGAUGAAGGCCUUCGGGUUGUAAAGGACUCUUUUACCAGGGAUGAUAAUGACAGUACCUGGAGAAUAAGACUCCGGCUAACUCCGUG